Molecule: non-coding RNA, 242 nt
Organism: Pelobates cultripes (western spadefoot toad)
Lineage: Eukaryota; Metazoa; Chordata; Amphibia; Anura; Pelobatidae
Source: the annotation of a GenBank genome assembly
CGCAGGCACUUUGUUGACUCUAGAGAACCUCGGGCCAAUCGCACGUCCCCGUGACGGCGACUUUGCAUUCAGAUGUCAUCCAUAUCAACUUUCGAUGCCAGUUUCUGUGCCUACCAUGGUGACCACGGGUAACGGGGAAUCAGGGUUGGAUUAUGGGGAGGGAAUAUGAGAAACGGCUACCACAUCCAAGGAAGGCAGCAGGUGCGCAAAUUACCCACUCCCGACGCGGGGAGGUAGUGACG